AAUCAACGCUGGCGGCGUGCCUCAGACAUGCAAGUCGAACGCGAAAUCCCGAGCAAUCGGGAGAGUAGAGUGGCGCACGGGUGAGUAACACGUAGGGUAAUCUACCUUCGGAUGGGGAAUAACAACCGGAAACGGUUGCUAAUACCGCAUAAUGCAGCGGCACCUAAUGGUGACAGUUGUUAAAGCGGGGGAUCGAAAGACCUCGCGUCUGAAGAGGAGCCUGCGGCGGAUUAGCUAGUUGGUAAGGUAAUGGCUUACCAAGGCAACGAUCCGUAACCGGCCUGAGAGGGCGGUCGGUCACACUGACACUGACAUACGGGUCAGACUCCUACGGGAGGCAGCAGUCGGGAAUUUUGGGCAAUGGGCGAAAGCCUGACCCAGCAACGCCGCGUGAAGGAUGAAAAU
This 405-nucleotide ribosomal RNA is filed under the name uncultured bacterium. Its description in RNAcentral is "bacterial SSU rRNA". It matches the Rfam family "Bacterial small subunit ribosomal RNA", at positions 32 to 415 of the family's 1533-position model. The record is from RNAcentral.